Molecule: non-coding RNA, 857 nt
Organism: Punica granatum (pomegranate)
Lineage: Eukaryota; Viridiplantae; Streptophyta; Magnoliopsida; Myrtales; Lythraceae
Source: RefSeq, a predicted model, not a curated record
AGGUAAAGUUAGUCUGUAUUAUAGACUAACAGAGUCGGGAAGAUUGAAGACAGGAAGGAAGAGCGAAGAGGAACCCUAAAUCGCAAAUCGUCAUCGUCUCCGACUCCAAUUCCUCUCGUCUACGACUCUCCACUCCAGCUCCUCUCCGUCGGUCGCAUCUCGUCUCUGACUCUUCACUCCGGCUCUCUUUCCCGCUGAGCUUCUUUUCUACUCCAAAUCCGUCGCUCUCGACUCCGACUCUCCACACCGGCUCCUCUCUGUCGCUCUCGUCUCCGACUCUCCUUCAAGCUCCCUUUCCCCGCCUACAGCAGAGCAUGUCAAACAAAAUCACUAUCUAGAGGUGAUUCCCAGUUGGCAUCCCAGGAGGCUGAUAUAGCUCACGGCUGUUCACAGCUAACGCAGCUACAGGGUUGGCUUCAUAAGAGAUUGGUGAGCCUAGUCUCUAUUUCUUCUUUUAUCUUACUUUUGUUUAUUUAAAUUUUUAGCUAGGGUUAGGCUUUUGGCAGACAUGUGCUUAGAUGGUUAGACCGAAGGCUGUAUGGGAAAUUGGUUGAUUUGUGUUUGUGCUUCAUACAGAAUAAUGACAUUGGGCAUAGUUAGACAAAGUUGGUUAGGGACUUCACAAUUCCCCUCCCCUGCCUAUCAGAUGAGAUCUUCUGAGUUAUCUUUUUUCUAAUCCUAUAUUUUUUCUUAAGAUUAAAGUGUGAUUUUUUUGCUUUUGGAUAGAUAAACUUUUUAAUUCAUGGACCAUAUUAGUCCAUGAUGGACAUAUUGUAAGGAAAUAUUACAUUUUGUUGUGUAAGAUCGUAUUAUAGACAUUUAGUUUUGUGGAUGGAUUAAUGAGACAUUAUUUUUUA